ACCACAUGUAGUGUCGUGUGUCACCUCAGGAGGGGUGACAAUGUCCUGGCUGGAGGGAAAGCUUGCUCCUGGCUCACCUUUUGCUCGCCGCCCACACCCUCCCAUGGAGCACCUGCAGGGAAUGCUGGAGCUGUGGAUGGCUUGGGGCUGAGCUGGAAAGGGAGCAUGUGGGGCGGAUGUCUGUCCAGAAAGAUCCAGAAACAAAACACUCACUCGAGUGGACAAGGUACUUUGGGUGGCUGAAGAGCUCCCCUGGAGCAGGAACGCUCUGUUCAUUCAACAGAAUUGUGCAGUCGAGCUCAUGCUGGGUGCUGAGGAUACGUGGGGAAUGACACCAAUCAAUCCUCCAAUUGAGACCCACCCUCUAGUGUGGGAGAGAGAUUGAAUGCCCGAGUGUGUGGAGGGUAGAGGCAGGCAGCAGCGAAGGGAAGAAAGUGCAGGGUUGGAGGCCCGAAGCCUUGAGGCUGGUGUGGGAGAGGGCCGCACUGGGAUUGGAGCAACAACCUUGAUGGGGGCAGGGAGGGAGCCAAAUGGAUACAUGGGAGAAAGCAUUCCUGGCAAAGGUGACCUCAAAGGCCUGAGGCUCAGAUGACCAGAGCAAAGUGAGCAUUAGGGAGGCUGGGGAGGCUGAGGAGGCGGGGAGGCUGAGGAGGCUGGGGGCCAUGGAAGGUACUGAGCAGAGGAGUGACAUGAUCUGACUUCGCAUUCCAACA
RNAcentral lists this long non-coding RNA (713 nucleotides) under Marmota monax (woodchuck). Lineage: Eukaryota; Metazoa; Chordata; Mammalia; Rodentia; Sciuridae. The record is from RNAcentral.